RNAcentral lists this ribosomal RNA (723 nucleotides) under Nostoc sp. Su 54. RNAcentral describes it as "bacterial SSU rRNA". It matches the Rfam family "Bacterial small subunit ribosomal RNA", at positions 82 to 836 of the family's 1533-position model. Lineage: Bacteria; Bacillati; Cyanobacteriota; Cyanophyceae; Nostocales; Nostocaceae. The record is from RNAcentral.
AUCUUAGGAUUCAGUGGCGGACGGGUGAGUAACGCGUGAGAAUCUAGCUCUAGGUCGGGGACAACCACUGGAAACGGUGGCUAAUACCGGAUGUGCCGGAAGGUAAAAGGCUUGCUGCCUAGAGAUGAGCUCGCGUCUGAUUAGCUAGUUGGUGUGGUAAGAGCGCACCAAGGCGACGAUCAGUAGCUGGUCUGAGAGGAUGAUCAGCCACACUGGGACUGAGACACGGCCCAGACUCCUACGGGAGGCAGCAGUGGGGAAUUUUCCGCAAUGGGCGAAAGCCUGACGGAGCAAUACCGCGUGAGGGAGGAAGGCUCUUGGGUUGUAAACCUCUUUUCUCAAGGAAUAAAUCAAUGAAGGUACUUGAGGAAUAAGCAUCGGCUAACUCCGUGCCAGCAGCCGCGGUAAUACGGAGGAUGCAAGCGUUAUCCGGAAUGAUUGGGCGUAAAGGGUCCGCAGGUGGCAUUGAAAGUCUGCUGUUAAAGAGUGAGGCUUAACCUCAUAAAAGCAGUGGAAACUACAUAGCUAGAGUGCGUUCGGGGUAGCAGGAAUUCCUGGUGUAGCGGUGAAAUGCGUAGAGAUCAGGAAGAACACCGGUGGCGAAAGCGUGCUACUAGGCCGUAACUGACACUGAGGGACGAAAGCUAGGGGAGCGAAUGGGAUUAGAUACCCCAGUAGUCCUAGCCGUAAACGAUGGAUACUAGGCCGUGGCUUGUAUCGACC